RNAcentral lists this unclassified non-coding RNA (253 nucleotides) under uncultured Alteromonadaceae bacterium. RNAcentral describes it as "contains 16S-23S intergenic spacer region". It matches the Rfam family "Bacterial small subunit ribosomal RNA", at positions 524 to 776 of the family's 1533-position model. The record is from RNAcentral. Lineage: Bacteria; Pseudomonadati; Pseudomonadota; Gammaproteobacteria; Alteromonadales; Alteromonadaceae.
UACGGAGGGUGCAAGCGUUAAUCGGAAUUACUGGGCGUAAAGCGCACGUAGGUGGCGUGAUAAGUUGGAUGUGAAAAACCGGGGCUUAACCUCGGCCGUGCAUUCAAAACUGUCAUGCUAGAGUAAGGGAGAGGGGGGUAGAAUUUCAGGUGUAGCGGUGAAAUGCGUAGAGAUCUGAAGGAAUACCGGUGGCGAAGGCGGCCCCCUGGCCCAUUACUGACACUGAGGUGCGAAAGCGUGGGUAGCGAACAGG